GAGGGGUUUCCUCAACUCACUUUUGCACGGCGAUGCUGGAAGAGAGGCGCUUAUGCCGGGCUCCUGGGGGGCGGGGGGUGUCUCUCACGGAAGGACGGUGAGAGCGUCUCCCAGGGUCUGGGGGAGCGCUUGGAUGUGGAGCGUUGCUUAAAUGAGGUGCCGAGGGAUGAACCUUUGUGCCGGGGAGUAGCAGAGGGAUAGGAUGUAAACCAGACACAAAUGGAGGAGGCCAGAGGAGCACAGCAAUGAGAAGAUGCGAAGCGCUUGGUACGGCCAGGUACUGGUACCGGGGGCACCAUGAGCCAGAUGAGUAUUGGUGGUCUGAAGCAUUCCAACCGCUGGUCCAAUAUGACAGAGGCCCUUGCGGAAAGAGGUCACGGUCAAGCGGUUUCAGAUGGAAACUAAUCCGGCAAUGCCAUGCUUUCGGACCCUAUGUCGGAAGUAAAGCCAGGUAUCACCAAUCAAUGUCAAAUGAGUGA
This is a long non-coding RNA of Corvus hawaiiensis (hawaiian crow), 479 nucleotides long. RefSeq lists it as uncharacterized. The transcript has 5 exons. The record is from RefSeq and is a predicted model, not a curated record. Lineage: Eukaryota; Metazoa; Chordata; Aves; Passeriformes; Corvidae.